AGAGUUUGAUCCUGGCUCAGGAUGAACGCUAGCGGCAGGCUUAAUACAUGCAAGUCGAGGGGCAGCACGGGUAGCAAUACCUGGUGGCGACCGGCAAACGGGUGCGGAACACGUACGCAACCUUCCCAUAACUGGUGAAUAGCCCUCCGAAAGGAGGAUUAAUACACCGUAACAUAAUGAAGUGGCAUCACUUUAUUAUUAUAGGCUUCGGCCGGUUUUGGAUGGGCGUGCGCCUGAUUAGGUAGUUGGCGGGGUAACGGCCCACCAAGCCUGCGAUCAGUAACUGGUGUGAGAGCACGACCAGUCACACGGGCACUGAGACACGGGCCCGACUCCUACGGGAGGCAGCAGUAAGGAAUAUUGGUCAAUGGACGAAAGUCUGAACCAGCCAUGCCGCGUGAAGGAUUAAGGCCCUCUGGGUUGUAAACUUCUUUUAUCUGGGACGAAAAAAGGGUAUUCUUACUCACUUGACGGUACCAGAGGAAUAAGCACCGGCUAACUCCGUGCCAGCAGCCGCGGUAAUACGGAGGGUGCAAGCGUUAUCCGGAUUUACUGGGUUUAAAGGGUGCGUAG
RNAcentral lists this ribosomal RNA (573 nucleotides) under uncultured bacterium. RNAcentral's name for it is "bacterial SSU rRNA". It matches the Rfam family "Bacterial small subunit ribosomal RNA", at positions 8 to 574 of the family's 1533-position model. The record is from RNAcentral.